ACGCACGCUGGCGGCGUGCCUAAUACCUGCAAGUAGCACGCUGAAGGAGGAGCUUGCUCUUCUGGAUGAGUUGCGAACGGGUGAGUAACGCGUAGGUAACCUGCCUGGUAGCGGGGGAUAACUAUUGGAAACGAUAGCUAAUACCGCAUAACAGUAGAUGUUGCAUGACAUUUGCUUAAAAGGUGCAAUUGCACCACUACCAGAUGGACCUGCGUUGUAUUAGCUAGUUGGUGGGGUAACGGCUCACCAAGGCGACGAUACAUAGCCGACCUGAGAGGGUGAUCGGCCACACUGGGACUGAGACACGGCCCAGACUCCUACGGGAGGCAGCAGUAGGGAAUCUUCGGCAAUGGACGGAAGUCUGACCGAGCAACGCCGCGUGAGUGAAGAAGGUUUUCGGAUCGUAAAGCUCUGUUGUAAGAGAAGAACGAGUGUGAGAGUGGAAAGUUCACACUGUGACGGUAUCUUACCAGAAAGAGACGGCUAACUACGUG
Molecule: ribosomal RNA, 494 nt
Filed under: uncultured bacterium
Lineage: Bacteria
Description: partial 16S ribosomal RNA
Rfam family: Bacterial small subunit ribosomal RNA
Source: RNAcentral